CCACCACAAUCCCACCCUCUGCCACCGCACAUUCUCCACCUUCUACUCCAGGGACUGGUACUUGAAGAAAAAGGACAAGGAUAUGCAGAAACCAACGAGACCCACAACCAAACCAAGAAAGGCCCCUGAGGGAGCUGACCCCGGCUAUGGCGCAGGUGCCUACUAGUGCCACUCCAGUGCCAUCUUCAGGACCCAUAUUUCUGACCAAUUAUAUUAGGCGAUCUGCAUGGAACUUGCACACCUUACUGAACCCAUGCCUAUCUACAAGGGUGCAAAUUUUGAAUGAUAUCGGUCAACAUCAAUCUCAGCUAAAGGUGGCUGAACUUUAACCUCCGUUUGUGCAGGCUGCGAUGCUGAAACUUGGCCCAGUUGCAGCACCUUUCACAUGUAUCAGGAUAAUAAAUUUUCAAUGCCCUACAACAACUUUCAAUUUCCAUCUAGAUGCCCCCUUAAUA
Procambarus clarkii (red swamp crayfish) is the source of this 455-nucleotide non-coding RNA. The record is from RefSeq and is a predicted model, not a curated record. Lineage: Eukaryota; Metazoa; Arthropoda; Malacostraca; Decapoda; Cambaridae.